GGAGGGGUGGUCGAGUGGUUGAUGGCUCCGGUCUUGAAAACCGGCGAAGGGAAACCUUCCGCGGGUUCGAAUCCCGCCCCCUCCG
This is a transfer RNA of Synechococcus sp. WH 5701, 85 nucleotides long. It matches the Rfam family "tRNA". Rfam says of the family: Transfer RNA (tRNA) molecules are approximately 80 nucleotides in length. Their secondary structure includes four short double-helical elements and three loops (D, anti-codon, and T loops). Further hydrogen bonds mediate the characteristic L-shaped molecular structure. tRNAs have two regions of fundamental functional importance: the anti-codon, which is responsible for specific mRNA codon recognition, and the 3' end, to which the tRNAs corresponding amino acid is attached (by aminoacyl-tRNA synthetases). tRNAs cope with the degeneracy of the genetic code in two manners: having more than one tRNA (with a specific anti-codon) for a particular amino acid; and 'wobble' base-pairing, i.e. permitting non-standard base-pairing at the 3rd anti-codon position. The record is from Rfam. Lineage: Bacteria; Bacillati; Cyanobacteriota; Cyanophyceae; Synechococcales; Synechococcaceae.